RNAcentral lists this ribosomal RNA (494 nucleotides) under Amanita sp. RNAcentral's name for it is "partial large subunit ribosomal RNA". It matches the Rfam family "Eukaryotic large subunit ribosomal RNA", at positions 77 to 553 of the family's 3401-position model. Lineage: Eukaryota; Fungi; Basidiomycota; Agaricomycetes; Agaricales; Amanitaceae. The record is from RNAcentral.
CCCUUAGUAACUGCGAGUGAAGUGGGAAGAGCUCAAAUUUAAAAUCUGGCAGUCUCCUUUUUUCUUUUUUGGCUGUCCGAAUUGUAAUCUAGAGAAGUGUUUACCCGUGCUGGACCGUGUAUAAGUCUCCUGGAACGGAGUGUCAUAGAGGGUGAGAAUCCUGUUUUUGACAUGGACUCCCAGUGCGUUGUGGUGCGCUCUCAAAGAGUCGAGUUGUUUGGGAAUGCAGCUCUAAAUGGGUGGUAAACUCCAUCUAAAGCUAAAUAUGGGCGAGAGACCGAUAGCGAACAAGUACCGUGAGGGAAAGAUGAAAAGCACUUUGGAAAGAGAGUUAAAAAGUAUGUGAAAUUGUUGAAAGGGAAACACUUGAGGUCAGCUGUGUCAGAUAGGGAUCAACCUGGUUCUUUUGCUGGGUGAAUUUCCUAGGCUUGACAGGCCAACAUCAGUUUUGACUGCUGGAAAAGGGCGGAGGGAAUGUGGCACUCUCGAGUGUG